GAAGGGUCUCAUUUUGUUGCCCAGGCUGGUCUCCAACUCCAACCUGGGCAACAAAAUGAGACCCUGU
Molecule: microRNA precursor, 67 nt
Organism: Gorilla gorilla gorilla (western lowland gorilla)
Lineage: Eukaryota; Metazoa; Chordata; Mammalia; Primates; Hominidae
Rfam family: mir-1285 microRNA precursor family
Source: Rfam